This 332-nucleotide long non-coding RNA is filed under the name Elaeis guineensis (African oil palm). RNAcentral's name for it is "long non-coding RNA (EGUI_LNC076703)". Lineage: Eukaryota; Viridiplantae; Streptophyta; Magnoliopsida; Arecales; Arecaceae. The record is from RNAcentral.
CUCCUCCAGGUUGGAGCCAAUUAACACCACAUGCUCCGCAUUCCCAUCAUUCAAAGAAACUGGUAUUAGGUCUUCGAUUGGACCGCCCCUCUCUUCAGUGAGGUCGUCGCGAGCAUCCAAUCCAUCGACCGGACAGAGGUCCGCUUGAUCGCUCCUUUGCAAGGCGAUGUUGUAGCAAUGUCUGGCCAGGGCUUGGUCUCCCCGAACUUCUCCGAUCCCCUGGUUGGUGGGGAACUUCAAUUUCAAAUGAUAGGUUGAAACAACAGCUCUGAGGGCAUUGAGGUCGGGUCGGCCAAGAAUUGCAUUGUAGGCAGAUGGCGCCUUCACCACCA